Carcharodon carcharias (great white shark) is the source of this 138-nucleotide small nucleolar RNA. RefSeq annotates it as small nucleolar RNA SNORD10. Lineage: Eukaryota; Metazoa; Chordata; Chondrichthyes; Lamniformes; Lamnidae. The transcript has a single exon. The record is from RefSeq and is a predicted model, not a curated record.
GUUUUGUGAUGAUCACAUGCGUGUCAACUGAUCCCAGCGGUUGUCUGGUAGCUAGCACCUUACUGAUGUUUUAUCAGUGAGUGAUGUUGAUUAUUGGAGGAUUCUGGGAGUAUGAUCAUGCUAUUCACUUCUGAAAAU